Molecule: long non-coding RNA, 221 nt
Filed under: Vombatus ursinus (common wombat)
Lineage: Eukaryota; Metazoa; Chordata; Mammalia; Diprotodontia; Vombatidae
Description: lncRNA (ENSVURG00010012959.1)
Source: RNAcentral
CUCGCUCCGCUCUUGGCCGCCGCAGGGACGGUGCAAACAGCCAAAGAAGACACGGUCAAGCCGGGAAACUUUUCCCGGGGCCCUCCCCGGCCCAGGUCUGCUCUGGGUCUGAGAUCCAGAAGCUUGAGGAGGGGCAGAAAUUUGGUGUCUAGAGGAAAGAAAACUGUGAGGAUACCUGCUUUGGAUUGUCUUUGAAACCCAGGAAGUCACCAGAAGAAGUG